CGCUGCUCUGCACGCCGCUCCCGCCUGCACGCCUGGCCUCGCCCCACGCCCGCCCGGCUCCGCCGCCUGCUCCCUUCCCUCUCUCCUGGUUCCCUCCCUCUUUCUCCUCCCUCCUCCCUCCCUCCCUUCCCUUCCUUUCUCACCGCCUCUGUCAGUCUCUGGCUCUCCCUGACUUUCAGCCCAGCCUCUAUCUCCACUUACGUCUCUCCUAAGGAACUGCAGUCCCAUCUCGAGACCCCCAGUAGGAGACCCCAGGCUGCCCUCUACUUAUCCCCCACCCCGUAGGGCAGCUUCGAGACACCCGUGCCCCUCCGGGACCCUAGCCCGUCCCUACCUCCAUCCUGGUCUCGAGGGGCUCCCCAACUAAGCCGGGCAGCGUCCUGGCCGGGACUGGGCAGCAGGGAGUACAGAGUCGCGGGACCGCUCCUCGGGUCAGUACCCCUCCCGCCCCUUUCUGCGGGUGCGUCAAACAGGACAAGCCCAAGUUCUGACGGGGGAAGGGGGAGCGGGGGUGUAGUCCCAGUCGGCUCUCUCUCUGGACCCUUCUGAGCGGACAGACCGCUCAUUGGUCCCUUCACAUCCCCAACGCCCCCAUGCUGGACCCUUUUCCAGACCAAAGACAGCACCUGGGGCGGGGAGCGACGGACCCCCUUCAUGGAGACAGACACACGCUGACCCAGGUCCCCAACUUCCCCUCAGCAUUAACUAGAACUCUCUCCCCUUUCCAGUGGAGGGCGUCCCACCCUUCUUCCCGGCCCUUCUUUUAACCCACUUCCCCUGGGAGUUCUCCGAACCCCUCCCCUCAAUGCUCCCAUCCCUGGGAUCUCGGGAGAUUGUUCCUCUCUGCUCAGCUGACCCCUCCACUUGCCCCCAUUUCUGAGGGAGCUAAGUUGGGGGAGAGUAAAUUCUCUCUCCACUCCCGGCUCCUCCCGGGGCUGGAGCUAACCUGGAAAGUGCUUUGGGAAGGCACCUCCUCCCUCACUCCCUCUGCAGUCUAGUCUAGUAGAUCAGGGAGCCCCUCCCACUCACCCAUCCCCAAGUUGCUCAGCUUCGACCAUUCAGAGGAGAGAAAGAGGUUAUGUGUGUGUGUUAAAAAUGUGUGUGGAGGUUUUUAUGGUUUGGUUUUGUUUUGUUUUGACUCUAGUGGAGGGAACAAACGCUUUGCCUUUCAUUUGGCAAGAAGACCUGGAGGGAGAGAGGGCCCUCCCCACCUACACUCCCCUGCUGACCACAGCUAAUGGACUAGCUCCUCUGGGCCCUGCGGCAGCUUAAGUUUCCACAGGAGAAGGGAGGUGCGGGGAGAGGGGAUGUUGGUCCAGGCAAGCAGUUGUCCCUGGCUUCCCGCUCCUUCUCUCCUUCCCUCCCUCCACAUUCUCUGCCUGAACCUAUAGCCUAGAAAGCAUCUCUCCACCUUCCACUUUAUUUUUAUUUAUUUAUUUAUUUUUGAGACAGAGUCUCACUCUGUCGCGUGGGCCAGAGUGCAGUGGCGAUCCUUGGCCCACAGCAACCUCCACCUCCCGGGUUCAAGCGAUUCUCCCCCCACGACAUAGGAGGCUGAGGCAGAGAAUUGCUUGAACUCAGGAGGCAGGCCUAGACCGUAUCACUGCACUCCAGACUCUGGGGGACAGAGUCUCUGUCUCAAAAAAAAAAAAAAAGAAAUUACUCCUCCAUGAGCCUGUCACAGGAAUUCUGAGGUGCACAGGGGUAGUUCCACACCCCUUACUUUUCUUAUUUCCACCCCAGCUGCUGGACCUCAGGCCCCUUCUCCAUCUUGCUCGGCAGGGAAGGUAGGAACUUCAGAGCUGGAGCCAGCAGCCCAGCCUCCAGGUCCCCAGAACUGCCCUCUCCCAGGCCCUUCUCUGUGACGUGACUGGCAGGAUUAUCCUUCUCCAGGGCCUGCCCAAGACACAUAUCCUCUUCCUCCCCACUCAAACUCCCUCAGGGCCCUCAUCUCUGGCUCAGACCUCAUAGUGUCUGGGCAGGGCACCCUGCUGAGAGGGGCCUCUACCCUGGAUCCAUUCCAGGGAGCUAUGCCCUCUAGCUUGGCCCACAUAGGCCCUGAGCUCUAGCAAACAGGCCCCCAGGGCUUCCCAGGCAGCCUUCAUCCCUUCUCCCUGCUGACCUUGUCCUCAGACCCCCAGAUUGUCAGGACUUGGGAUAUCUGGCAG
Molecule: long non-coding RNA, 2168 nt
Organism: Piliocolobus tephrosceles (Ugandan red Colobus)
Lineage: Eukaryota; Metazoa; Chordata; Mammalia; Primates; Cercopithecidae
Exons: 3
Source: RefSeq, a predicted model, not a curated record